CACGUAGUUAGCCGGGGCUUCUUACUCAGGUACCGCCAUUUUCUUCCCUGCUGAUAGAGCUUUACAUCACGAAUGACUUCUUCACUCACGCGGCGUUGCUGCAUCAGGGUUUCCCCCAUUGUGCAAUAUUCCCCACUGCUGCCUCCCGUAGGAGUUUGGGCCGUGUCUCAGUCCCAAUGUGGCCGUUCACCCUCUCAGGCCGGCUACUGAUCGUCGCCUUGGUGGGCUUCUACCCCGCCAACCAGCUAAUCAGACGCGGAUCCAUCUUACACCACCGGAGUUUUUCACACUAAGCCAUGCGGCUCCGUGCGCUUAUGCGGUAUUAGCACCUAUUUCUAAGUGUUAUCCCCCAGUGUAAGGCAGGUUAUCCACGCGUUACUCACCCGUCCGCCACUAAGUUACGAAUCACUAGGUUUCAUCGUAACUCCGUUCGACUUGCAUGUGUUAGGCACGCCGCCAGCGUUCAUCCUGAGCCAGGAUCAAACUCU
This 488-nucleotide ribosomal RNA is filed under the name uncultured Lachnospiraceae bacterium. Its description in RNAcentral is "partial 16S ribosomal RNA". The record is from RNAcentral. Lineage: Bacteria; Bacillati; Bacillota; Clostridia; Lachnospirales; Lachnospiraceae.